AUGCGAUUGCAGCCAUUCGUUUUUGAACUGCAGACAUGGGACUGGAACCACACAACGACACUGUUCCUAUUAGUUCCCUUGAGUCAUCCAUAUCCUGCAAAGAGCCUCAAUCCCUUGCGUGAUGAUGAGAAAAGGUCGAAAGGUCUCCUUCUACAGAUCUGGGAGCCAGUUGCUUUCCUGAGGCACUUCAAGUACAGACCAAGAGAAAAGUCUACCAAGGAAAGGGAGACGAACAAGCUGAGGACACCGAAGAAUCUUGUUGGGAUCUGCAGAUAGCAAGAAGAAUCUUUAAUAAAUAAGACUCCCAUUAAAAAUAACUUCAUGGGUUUUAAAAAGUCAUUUUCAAAUGAACAGGCACUAAAACUUCUGAUUUGGGACAGAAGACUGAAAAUACAAUUUUUUUCAUUGUCUUUUUGUCACUAAAUACAUAGGAUUUUGUGUAGCUCCUCUUUUAUUUGUUCAUGUAAACCCAGUUGAUUCACGGGGUAUUUUGUUUUUCUAAGGCAUAAUUCUUUUAAGUCCACUUAUUUCUUCCUAUGCCUACUGAUAUGGUCUGGCUGUGUCCCCACCCAAACCUCAUCUGGAAUUAUAGUUCCCAUAAUCCCCACGACCGAUAUGGUCUGGCUGUGUCCCCACCCAAAUCUCAUCUGGAAUUAUAGUUCCCAUAAUCCCCACGUGUCAUGGGAAGGACCAGGUAGAGAAAACUGAAUCAUGGGGGCAGUUUCCCCCAUCCUGUUCUCACUCUCAUGAGUGAGUUCUCACGAGAGCUGAUGGUUUUAUCAGGGACUUCCCUUCUCUGAGCACCCAUUCUUCUCCUUGCUGCGCCAUGUGAAGAAGGAAGUGUUUGCUUCCCCUUCUAAGUUUCCUGAGGCCUCCCUAGUCCUGCAUAACUGUGAGUCAAUUAAGCCUCCUUCCUUUAUAAAUUACUCAGUCUCGGAUAUGUCCUUACAGCAGCAUGAGAACAGACUAAUACACCUACUUUUCAUAUUUAGUAUUUUGUGCUACCAUAUCUAUAAAAAAUUGGGUUAUUAAUAUAUACAAUUCUGAAAGUGCUGUUAGUAUGAGCAGAUCUCAAUGUGGACAUUCAGGUUAAAUGAUCUUCAAUCGUCACUCCAGCCAGAGAGAACACAGGAAGAUGCUGGGCUUAGGUCUUGACUUCUAUAUGCUUGUACAUUCUGCCAGAAAAGAAACAGAAAAGGAAAAUGGAAAUUGCAUGUAUAUGGGGCCAUGCCUGGUUUGGUGAUCUUGGCUAUCUUUUCUGCACAUGGCCUCGCUAGCCUUCAAUCUCAAUCUCUCUCUCUCCCUUCU
Molecule: long non-coding RNA, 1308 nt
Filed under: Macaca mulatta (Rhesus monkey)
Lineage: Eukaryota; Metazoa; Chordata; Mammalia; Primates; Cercopithecidae
Description: lncRNA (ENSMMUG00000052955.1)
Source: RNAcentral